This is a non-coding RNA of Mycena polygramma, 84 nucleotides long. NCBI's taxonomy places the organism in Eukaryota, Fungi, Basidiomycota, Agaricomycetes, Agaricales, Mycenaceae. The record is from the annotation of a GenBank genome assembly.
GCCCCCGUCGUCUAAUGGCUAUGACGUCAGACUUCUACACUGACGUGAAUCUGGAGGUUGCGGGUUCGAGUGCCGCCGGGUGUU